RNA transcript from Mya arenaria, 3907 nucleotides. RefSeq lists it as uncharacterized. Lineage: Eukaryota; Metazoa; Mollusca; Bivalvia; Myida; Myidae. The record is from RefSeq and is a predicted model, not a curated record. The transcript has 5 exons.
AGAUUUUCCAUGGUUUUUCCUGAAAGUAAACAAAAUUUUUGGUAAGUAACUUUUCAUCAUGUUAAUCUUUACUCUGAACUGCUCAAUAUAUGUUUUUAUGAUGGUAUCCGUCGUUAUCUUAGAUACCUGUGUUUUGGAUGAGGGAUAUGAAAAUGGGACCGAAAAAUACACUUUUUACUUGCCGGUAGUUAGUUUUGGUCAGUUUUACUUUAGGUUCCUAAUUGUACAUGAGCACUUGUAAGCGUCUGAUUGAAGAUGAAUGAAAUACCAAAAAGUGAAACUACGCCUGACAAUUAUUGAACAGUUGUUUUUGUAGAUAAGUAUUAGUGGUAUGGAAGUGACAAUAAAUUUAUUGUAUAAAUUACAUACGGGCAGAUCAUACAAAAAUGAUAACAAUGCAAUAAUUAACACGAACCCCCCCCCCCCCCAAAAAAAAAAAACAAAAAAACAACAACAAAAAACAACAACCUUACCGAAGACCGAGUUGUUCAUGAGUUUGAAGAAGUUCUUCUCGAAAGCAGUCUUUGCUUGUUGUCGCAUUUUGGUGUUGAACUCAACGUAGGGUUUCAUGAAAGCCUCUUGUUGGAACUCUAAUACUUUAUGUAUUUUUUUUUAAUUUUAGACCGAGUUGGAGAUACAGUUGCAGGUUGCGAUGGUGAAGUACAUAAUUCUGUUUGUUUUCUAAAGUGGUGAGUAAUUUUUCCACCUUUGCUCUGGGUGGAAGUUCCUCACUGUUGUGUAAAUGUUUCAACACAUGUUGAGCAUAAGGAGAUAAUUUUUCAUUGGGUGUGAAUUUACGUUCCGGAGCUAAUGGGUAGUCGUUAUGACUGUCAUGUAAAUGUUUUGGAUAUUCUAGAUCUACUUCUAGAAUAUACCCCUUAGAUCCAUCCUCUGGUAUUUUUUCAGGUUCAAAAGUAUCAAUUUCUUCCUUCUCUAAAAACUUAAAGAAGCCUGUUGGUAGAUGUUGUGACAUACUGUAACCAUAAAGAUUAUUGACAUCAUAAUAAGCUAGAAAUGAGGUUUCUUUUGUAGGAUCAUAAUCAUUCAAAUACUCAUUGUUUGGUUUUUUGUAUCUAUUUGAUAUUUGACUAAUACCACCUCGAAUACCUUUUUCGAUAAAUAAAAUUUGAUCAAUGUCUGUCAUGAGCUCUAGAGUGACUUCAGUCAUUUUCAACAUUGCCUGCCAGCUCAAUCCCGGACUGGUGUAAAAGUGACAAGGGUCUAAACCAUAACACUUCAGUGACAUAUCACGAAAAUUUUCAAAAACAUCAGCUAAUAACAAUAUGUCUGUUUUUAAAUAGAGAUCAUGGUAUUCUCCAAGACUUUUUAGUUUAAAUGUUUGAUAUACUUGCUUUGCAUGUUCAUAGUCUUCUUUUGAUAUAUUUUCCUCAGUCAAUGAAGAGUAAAAAUUCUCUAUUGCUGGAAGAUCAGCAUCUUCAAAUUUAUCCCAGUCAGUCAUGAACUCGUAAGGAUAAACCCCCUUUCAUAGCAGGAGGUUUCCAUGAUCUUUGAUUUCUGAAUGAAAGUGAUGGAAAGACUGUGGGCCAUUUUGAGCUAAGUUAUCUACAAGGGUCCCAAGAGAUGAAGGGAGAAAACCCAAAGAGUCAAUAAACCUAAGAUUUCCAAUACUAAAACUGAUAUACUUUUCAACUGACUGUGGGAUGCAAUUGAUUUUAUAAUUUUUAAAUGUACCAAUUCUUUGACAAAGCAAGUGACCAUCAAAAUUUUUAAGAUUGUGGAAGAUGACUGGGAUGAAACUGGGUUGUUUACCGGUACAUUGUAAAUUACAAUUCAUAUGUGCAGCUCCUAUGUAUUUCCCACUUGUGUGAUCAUGAUGUCUUGCUUUCUUUUCCUUGUUACCAAAUACUUUUUUGACAUAAACAACAUGUGUUUGCUUGUUCGAACUGUUUUUCUUCACUUUCCUUUAAAACUAGGGGUUUGAUAUUUUGCAUAUGUUGCUGUAUUUCAUGACUUUCUCGUAAAAGACAUUCUAACAAUUUUUUGGGUGCAUCUGGACCUCUGUAGAUAACAGUAUCUUUUGUUAAUUUUGAAUCAGUUGAAAUAACUUUAUAUCCAAAGGAACAGGGUUCUAACAAUUGAUUUUUUGAUGUUGAAGCUGUUUGGUUGUUAGUCUCUAUUGGUUUAUUUAAUGUUUCAAAAUCAGCCACAAUAACAUAAGGGACACGCAGUGUUUUUUCGUAAUCUUUAAAUUUAAGAAAGCAGUCUGCUCCUGAUGGAAGUUCAAUUUUUUGAGCAUCAUGGACUUGACAGUAUGAAAGGUGAUCAUCUAAUAAACUUUGUUUACUAAAUCCAUGGAGGCAAUAUCGACAAUAGUAAUAUGCACGAUGUCCUUUCUUACCAUGACUAAGAAACCUGUUUAUGUUUUUCAUAAGCACAUAAUGUGAACUGUUUUCUGAUUGCAAAAGCAAUAAGUCAAUAUGAUGGAGUCUGUUUUGGCAAUUUGUAAUGCGUAGUGGAAGAACAUCAUUGUCUUCAAAAGUAAACACAUUUACAGACAAAAAUGGGUUUUGCUUCUCAAAUUGAUUUAUUUGAUUCAAUGACAUUGGAAACAGCAGACCUUUUGUGUUUAAUUCAUUUUCAAAUUGUUCAUAAUCACUCACCAGAGGGGAAUCCAAGGGAUGAAGGGAUGCUAAACAACACCAUAGAAAGCACUUUUGGCCAAGAUUUCUUAUGUUUAGUAAACUUUGAUAGUUAAUAAGAGGCUUUGGUAGCUCUACAAAACUAGAUCCGGACACUGGAGAAUAUUUCACCGUGUGCACAGUUAUACUUAAUACUUGUUUGAGAACCCACCCAGAGCUUUCUCUUAUGUACUUUUCAAAACUUUCAAACAUUUUUUGAAAUGCUUCAUUUAAGUUGUUUUCAUCAAAUGUUAUCAAAUUUAAACUUCUAUAACUCUUAGAUCUAAAAUGUGGAGUUGAUGUAUUGUCUCCAUCUUUUGUGUGUUUCACUAGCUCAACCUGCACUGAUAAAUACCAUUUAAUAGGAUACAAUUGAAGUCUUUUUUCUAAAAUAUUUUGAAUGUUUUUAUUGGCAUUGGCAAAAAAUGCCAACAGAUCAUAUUGUUCAUGUUGAUUUGGUUGUAUGGUGAAAUCUUGAAUGUUUUCAUUAAUAGCAUGUUCAUAACUGUGGUCCAUUGUUGUAGAUGAUGGUGUUCUUGCAGUGGAAGUUGGUGUUGAUGAUGGUGUUCUUGCAGUGGAAGUUGGUGUUGAUGAUGGUGUUCUUGCAGUCGAAGAUGGUGUAGAUAAUUGACUGUAGUUGUGUUCAUUUUGAAGGUGUGGACUUGGAGAGAGCGGUGUUCUUGCAGUCGAAGAUGGUGUAGAUAGCUGACUGUAGCUGUGCUCGUUCUGAAGUUGUGAAGUGGUGAGAAGUCCUGUUGUAUGAUCUACAUUGCUUGUUGAAGAGGAGCUUUGGGUGUCGCUGCUUGGAGGUUGAAAGACAAUCAACGUCUGAGAGUGAAAUAUGUUGGUGCGCAAUUUAUACAACUUGUUUGAAUGUGGGCUUACAUCAACAACAGCAAGACUUUGCGAUCGACACUCUACUCUGUCAAAUGGAUAUUUAGCUGUGCUGUUUUUCAACAACUCUGCAUGGGCUACAAUAAGAGCUGGAUUGACUCUUACCUUCUUUGCUAGUAAUUCGCUUUUCGCUUGAUUUACAAUUUGCUGUGUGGGGGAAGUCACGUUCAAUGUCAAGUCACUGCUCUCUGCGGAAGCCUUAUGAGAUCAUCCGGGGAUAUCGCCAUAUUGAAAACCCGCCAGAGAUUCGGUCCACGUCCAUGGUGCUCGGGAUGAGUCAUUGGAGGACGAAGAUCGGGUGUCCUUAUGCUGCCAUGAAAUGUCGUUUUUAUGAUGUCCAAUUAUGUUCAAAAAUAAACAACUUGGAGAAUGUG